UAGUCAUGAGUUUGAUCCUGGCUCAGGAUUAGAUACCCUGGUAGUCAUGAGUUUGAUCCUGGCUCAACAAUAGCAUACCCUGGGCUUAAGGUUAUUGGGCCUGGGAAACUGGGUCUAAUACCGGAUAUUCAGUUCCUGCCGCAUGGUGGGGGUUGGAAAGUUUUUCGGUGCAGGAUGAGCCCGCGGCCUAUCAGCUUGUUGGUGGGGUAAUGGCCUACCAAGGCGACGACGGGUAGCCGGCCUGAGAGGGUGAUCGGCCACACUGGGACUGAGACACGGCCCAGACUCCUACGGGAGGCAGCAGUGGGGAAUAUUGCACAAUGGGCGAAAGCCUGAUGCAGCGACGCCGCGUGGGGGAUGACGGUCUUCGGAUUGUAAACCCCUUUCAGUAGGGACGAAGCGCAAGUGACGGUACCUGCAGAAGAAGCACCGGCCAACUACGUGCCAGCAGCCGCGGUAAUACGUAGGGUGCGAGCGUUGUCCGGAAUUACUGGGCGUAAAGAGCUCGUAGGCGGUUUGUCGCGUCGUCCGUGAAAACUCGGAGCUUAACUCCGAGCUUGCGGGCGAUACGGGCAGACUUGAGUACUACAGGGGAGACUGCAAGUCCUGGUGAAUCGGUUCAAUGCGCAGAUUUCAAUACCCUGGUAGUCCUGAGUUUGAUCCUGGCUCAGGAUUAGAUACCCUGGUAGUCCUGAGUUUGAUCCGGC
RNAcentral lists this ribosomal RNA (707 nucleotides) under Dietzia sp. F148. RNAcentral's name for it is "bacterial SSU rRNA". It matches the Rfam family "Bacterial small subunit ribosomal RNA", at positions 1 to 815 of the family's 1533-position model. The record is from RNAcentral. Lineage: Bacteria; Bacillati; Actinomycetota; Actinomycetes; Mycobacteriales; Dietziaceae.